CCUACGGGAGGCAGCAGUGGGGAAUAUUGGACAAUGGGCGAAAGCCUGAUCCAGCCAUGCCGCGUGUGUGAAGAAGGUCUUCGGAUUGUAAAGCACUUUAAGUUGGGAGGAAGGGCAGUAAGUUAAUACCUUGCUGUUUUGACGUUACCAACAGAAUAAGCACCGGCUAACUUCGUGCCAGCAGCCGCGGUAAUAAGAAGGGUGCAAG
This 208-nucleotide ribosomal RNA is filed under the name uncultured Pseudomonas sp. Its description in RNAcentral is "partial 16S ribosomal RNA". It matches the Rfam family "Bacterial small subunit ribosomal RNA", at positions 338 to 538 of the family's 1533-position model. The record is from RNAcentral. Lineage: Bacteria; Pseudomonadati; Pseudomonadota; Gammaproteobacteria; Pseudomonadales; Pseudomonadaceae.